RNAcentral lists this transfer RNA (69 nucleotides) under Ictidomys tridecemlineatus (thirteen-lined ground squirrel). RNAcentral describes it as "Spermophilus tridecemlineatus (thirteen-lined ground squirrel) tRNA". It matches the Rfam family "tRNA". Rfam says of the family: Transfer RNA (tRNA) molecules are approximately 80 nucleotides in length. Their secondary structure includes four short double-helical elements and three loops (D, anti-codon, and T loops). The record is from Rfam by way of RNAcentral. Lineage: Eukaryota; Metazoa; Chordata; Mammalia; Rodentia; Sciuridae.
GGGGUUGUGGCUCAGUGGUAGAGCACUUGCCUAGCAUGCAUGAGGCCCUGGGUUUGAUCCUCAGCCCCA